GACGAACGCUGGCGGCGUGCUUAACACAUGCAAGUCGAACGGAAAGGCCCUGCUUUUGUGGGGUGCUCGAGUGGCGAACGGGUGAGUAACACGUGAGUAACCUGCCCUUGACUUUGGGAUAACUUCAGGAAACUGGGGCUAAUACCGGAUAGGAGCUCCUGCUGCAUGGUGGGGGUUGGAAAGUUUCGGCGGUUGGGGAUGGACUCGCGGCUUAUCAGCUUGUUGGUGGGGUAGUGGCUUACCAAGGCUUUGACGGGUAGCCGGCCUGAGAGGGUGACCGGCCACAUUGGGACUGAGAUACGGCCCAGACUCCUACGGGAGGCAGCAGUGGGGAAUAUUGCACAACGGGCGGAAGCCGGAUGCAGCAACGCCGCGUGCGGGAUGACGGCCUUCGGGUUGUAAACCGCUUUCGCCGGUGACGAAGCGUGAGUGACGGUAAUGGGUAAAGAAGCACCGGCUAACUACGUG
RNAcentral lists this ribosomal RNA (468 nucleotides) under uncultured bacterium. Its description in RNAcentral is "partial 16S ribosomal RNA". It matches the Rfam family "Bacterial small subunit ribosomal RNA", at positions 28 to 507 of the family's 1533-position model. The record is from RNAcentral.